Molecule: ribosomal RNA, 118 nt
Filed under: Blautia glucerasea
Lineage: Bacteria; Bacillati; Bacillota; Clostridia; Lachnospirales; Lachnospiraceae
Also listed under: 2 other names
Source: RNAcentral
UCCGGUGUCGAUGCGCUUGUGGGAAACACCCGUUCCCAUCCCGAACACGACGGUUAAGACGCAGGCGGCCGAUGGUACUGCAUUGGAGACGAUGUGGGAGAGCAGGCGGGCGCCGGAU